Long non-coding RNA from Sinocyclocheilus anshuiensis, 90 nucleotides. RefSeq lists it as uncharacterized. The record is from RefSeq and is a predicted model, not a curated record. Lineage: Eukaryota; Metazoa; Chordata; Actinopteri; Cypriniformes; Cyprinidae. The transcript has 3 exons.
UCGGGGAACUCGUUGUAUAACUCCACUUCGGUUUCCUACAAAAUAAAAAAGGGCCACAGUUAAGUGCAAAAAUUCUCACAAAUUCAGAGG